GCCAGGUGUCGUGGUGGACGCCUGUAAUCCCAGCAGCUCAGGAGGCUGAGGCAGGAGGAUCUCGAGUUCAAAGCAAGAACCUGAGCAGCUCAGAGAGACCCUGUCUUUA
RNAcentral lists this small RNA (109 nucleotides) under Marmota monax (woodchuck). The record is from RNAcentral. Lineage: Eukaryota; Metazoa; Chordata; Mammalia; Rodentia; Sciuridae.